UGCCAGACUCCUACGGGAGGCAGCAGUGAGGAAUAUUGGUCAAUGGCCGGGAGGCUGAACCAGCCAAGUCGCGUGAGGGAAGACGGCCCUACGGGUUGUAAACCUCUUUUGUCAGGGAGCAAGGUGCAGGUCGGGACCUGCUGUGAGAGUACCUGAAGAAAAAGCAUCGGCUAACUCCGUGCCAGCAGCCGCGGUAAUACGGAGGAUGCGAGCGUUAUCCGGAUUCACUGGGUGUAAAGGGAGCGUAGACGGCGGCGCAAGUCUGGAGUGAAAGCCCGGGGCCCAACCCCGGGACUGCUCUGGAAACUGCGGCGCUGGAGUACGGGAGGGGCAGGCGGAAUUCCUGGUGUAGCGGUGAAAUGCGUAGAUAUCAGGAGGAACACCGGCGGCGAAGGCGGCCUGCUGGACCGUGACUGACGUUGAGGCUCGAGAGCGUGGGGAGCAAACAGGAUUAGAUGCCCCCGUA
This 466-nucleotide ribosomal RNA is filed under the name uncultured bacterium. RNAcentral's name for it is "bacterial SSU rRNA". It matches the Rfam family "Bacterial small subunit ribosomal RNA", at positions 329 to 792 of the family's 1533-position model. The record is from RNAcentral.